GGGUCUGUAGCUCAGUCGGUUAGAGCGCACCCCUGAUAAGGGUGAGGUCGGAGGUUCAAGUCCUCCCUGACCCACCA
RNAcentral lists this transfer RNA (77 nucleotides) under Gammaproteobacteria bacterium. RNAcentral's name for it is "tRNA-Ile". It matches the Rfam family "tRNA". Rfam says of the family: Transfer RNA (tRNA) molecules are approximately 80 nucleotides in length. Their secondary structure includes four short double-helical elements and three loops (D, anti-codon, and T loops). The record is from RNAcentral. Lineage: Bacteria; Pseudomonadati; Pseudomonadota; Gammaproteobacteria.